AUGACGAAGCACCAGAGGGCUGAAGCGGCCGACCAGCAUGUCGUGUCCCUCGCCCUCUCGCUCUGCCUCGGCGCUGUCGCUGACCGCAGCAAGAAGAUGCGCCGCGCCGGUCGGGAUCAGUUCGUGUGCAAGACGUGCGGCCGCUCGUUCGCGUCGUUCCAGGCGCUGGGUGGCCACCGGACUAGCCACCUCCGCGACCGCAACGGGCUCGCGCUCGCCCUCACCACCGGCGAUCAGUACUGCUCGGUCAAGCCCAAGAGUGCUACGGAUCAGAAGCAGGCGCACCAGUGCCACAUCUGCGGCCAAGGGUUCGAGACGGGGCAGGCGCUCGGCGGCCACAUGCGCCGGCACCGUGAGGAGGUGGCGCAGGCGUUGCCCGUUCUGCUCGAGCUCUUUGUCUAG
Molecule: ribosomal RNA, 402 nt
Filed under: Triticum aestivum (bread wheat)
Lineage: Eukaryota; Viridiplantae; Streptophyta; Magnoliopsida; Poales; Poaceae
Description: partial small subunit ribosomal RNA
Source: RNAcentral